AGUGAACGCUGGCGGUAGGCCUAACACAUGCAAGUCGAACGGCAGCACAGUAAGAGCUUGCUCUUACGGGUGGCGAGUGGCGGACGGGUGAGGAAUACAUCGGAAUCUACUUUUUCGUGGGGGAUAACGUAGGGAAACUUACGCUAAUACCGCAUACGACCUACGGGUGAAAGCAGGGGAUCUUCGGACCUUGCGCGAUCGAAUGAGCCGAUGUCGGAUUAGCUAGUUGGCGGGGUAAAGGCCCACCAAGGCGACGAUCCGUAGCUGGUCUGAGAGGAUGAUCAGCCACCCUGGAACUGAGACACGGUCCAGACUCCUACGGGAGGCAGCAGUGGGGAAUAUUGGACAAUGGUCGCAAGCCUGAUCCAGCCAUACCGCGUGGGUGAAGAAGGCCUUCGGGUUGUAAAGCCCUUUUGUUGGGAAAGAAAAGCAGCAGGUUAAUACCCCGCUGUUCUGACGGUACCCAAAGAAUAAGCACCGGCUAACUUCGUG
Molecule: ribosomal RNA, 492 nt
Filed under: uncultured bacterium
Lineage: Bacteria
Description: partial 16S ribosomal RNA
Rfam family: Bacterial small subunit ribosomal RNA
Source: RNAcentral